GCAGUGGUGGUUCAGUGGUAUAAUUCUAACCUUACAUGUGGGAGACCUGAGUUUGAUUCCUGGCCAAUGCA
Molecule: transfer RNA, 71 nt
Filed under: Loxodonta africana (African savanna elephant)
Lineage: Eukaryota; Metazoa; Chordata; Mammalia; Proboscidea; Elephantidae
Rfam family: tRNA
About the family: Transfer RNA (tRNA) molecules are approximately 80 nucleotides in length.
Source: Rfam by way of RNAcentral